RNAcentral lists this ribosomal RNA (393 nucleotides) under uncultured bacterium. RNAcentral describes it as "partial 16S ribosomal RNA". It matches the Rfam family "Bacterial small subunit ribosomal RNA", at positions 523 to 918 of the family's 1533-position model. The record is from RNAcentral.
AUACGGAGGAUCCGAGCGUUAUCCGGAUUUAUUGGGUUUAAAGGGAGCGUAGGCGGACGCUUAAGUCAGUUGUGAAAGUUUGCGGCUCAACCGUAAAAUUGCAGUUGAUACUGGGUGUCUUGAGUACAGUAGAGGCAGGCGGAAUUCGUGGUGUAGCGGUGAAAUGCUUAGAUAUCACGAAGAACUCCGAUUGCGAAGGCAGCCUGCUGGACUGUAACUGACGCUGAUGCUCGAAAGUGUGGGUAUCAAACAGGAUUAGAUACCCUGGUAGUCCACACAGUAAACGAUGAAUACUCGCUGUUUGCGAUAUACAGUAAGCGGCCAAGCGAAAGCGUUAAGUAUUCCACCUGGGGAGUACGCCGGCAACGGUGAAACUCAAAGGAAUUGACGGGG